Molecule: non-coding RNA, 73 nt
Organism: Bos taurus (domestic cattle)
Lineage: Eukaryota; Metazoa; Chordata; Mammalia; Artiodactyla; Bovidae
Source: Rfam
UCCCUGGUAGCUCAGCUGGUAAAGAAUCUGUCUGUAAUGCAGGAGACCUUGGUUCGAUAUCUGGGCCAGGAAA